This 407-nucleotide ribosomal RNA is filed under the name uncultured bacterium. RNAcentral describes it as "bacterial SSU rRNA". It matches the Rfam family "Bacterial small subunit ribosomal RNA", at positions 355 to 776 of the family's 1533-position model. The record is from RNAcentral.
UCGAGAAUCUUCCACAAUGGACGAAAGUCUGAUGGAGCAAUGCCGCGUGCAGGAAGACGGCCUUCGGGUUGUAAACUGCUUUUAUAGGGGACGAAUUGAUGACGGUACCCUAAGAAUAAGUCACUGCUAACUUCGUGCCAGCAGCAGCGGUAAUACGAAGGUGGCAAGCGUUAUCCGGAAUUAUUGGGCGUAAAGCGUUCCUAGGUGGUUAGGCAAGUUUUUCGUCAAACCUUUGGGCUCAACCCAAAUCUCGCGAAAAAAACUACCUUACUAGAGUACGGGAGAGGUCAACGGAAUAGCCGGUGUAGUAGUAAAAUGCGUUUAUAUCGGCUAGAACACCAAAAGCGAAGGCAGUUGACUAGAACGUUACUGACACUCAUAGAACGAAAGCGUGGGGAGCGAAUGGG